RNAcentral lists this long non-coding RNA (238 nucleotides) under Solanum tuberosum (potato). Its description in RNAcentral is "long non-coding RNA (STUB_LNC004889)". The record is from RNAcentral. Lineage: Eukaryota; Viridiplantae; Streptophyta; Magnoliopsida; Solanales; Solanaceae.
UUAUCUUGGUUAUUUUCUUCUUUUUCUUCUAAUUCAUCUUCUAAUUGCAAUUUUUCUUUAAAUUUAAUUAUCUCAUUUGCUAAUUUUAUUUUUUGUUCUUUUUCUUUUUGUUUAUUUUCAUACAUUUCUUUUAAUAUUGUCAGCUCUUUUUCUAGUUCUAUUAUUUUUAGUAUUUUUUUUACUUCUUCUAAUUGUUGUACUUCCUUUUUUGCUUGUUGUUUUAUUUUUUCAAUUUCCG